Long non-coding RNA from Triticum dicoccoides, 2806 nucleotides. RefSeq lists it as uncharacterized. The transcript has 12 exons. Lineage: Eukaryota; Viridiplantae; Streptophyta; Magnoliopsida; Poales; Poaceae. The record is from RefSeq and is a predicted model, not a curated record.
CCGCACGUACGACCGAGGUCUCUUGCCCUCGAGCGACAAACAGUCGCCCGACUCUGUGCCCUCGUUCGCCGCCGCCGCCCUUCGUCCAUUCACCGCCGCCGCUCCAUCACUUCGCCGCCGGCCGAUGGAUUCGCCGGGUCGUCGCUCCUCAGGGCCAGCCCCUCCCGCCGCGCUGGAUCACGUGGCGGCCUAGGGAACCCUAACCAGCCCCCGAUCUUCGCAUCUCUCCCUGAAUCCCUCCUCCUCCACGAGCCGCGCGGUGUGCUUCCCUCCUCCCACACGAUGCUCCUCUCCCUCCCCAAAUCGACAUGGAUCUCGCGCUGCUGGAUCCCCUCCUCUCCCUCCCUGACUUGCCGUGAAUCUUGUGCUGCGAGAGCUGCUCUAUCCCUUCCCUGGCCGCCAUAGAUCUCGCCAGCCACCAUCGGAGGAAGCCCCACAUACCCAAGUUUGAUGGGCUUGCCAGCGAUGUUGAGGUCCUUGCCAUGGCUCCGAGCCUGGAGAGUAGCGCUGUCCCAGAUUGAGGUGGACUCCGGUUACAAGGAAGAGCUCCGGAGGGAGAUGACGCUGUUCAAGACGCUGGCCAUCACUUUCUCGAGGAUGAUGAUCUUCACUGGGAUCACGUCUUUGUACUGUAGCAUCCUCCAGUUAGGAAGGCCGGCCGGCCAGCCUCGUGCGGGGCUGGGUCAUCAUCUCCUUCUUCACCUGGUUAAUGGGUGUCGUCAUGUUGGGGAUUUCUCCUUGCCUUUGUCUGAACCUCUAACUACUGAAGCUGAAAAUGAAGUUCACGAUUGUUUGUAUGGUAACGGUUCAGGUAGCAAAAGUCCUGGUGCUACAUGAAACGUCUAACACUCAGGUUAGCAGAAAAAAAACAGUGUUUGAGACCACAUGGCAGGUUAAAUGACGAGCUAAAUAUUCAUCUUACAUGUACUAAACCAUCCUUAUUGAUUGCAAACAUGUAAACUUUGCACUGAUGUUUUUAUACGUAAUGGGGAAAGUGGGAUCCCUUGUCUUCAGGUCAUUAAUUUGUACCUUGAAUUGUUAAAGGAGAUGGGAAUAAAAAACCCAAAAGGUUCUCUAAAUGCAGCUUCUUCAAUACAUUUAUAUUGACAGUUGAUAGAUGGAUCCAGUAGGCCUUGGUAGUGCUAAGCGUGUUUGAUUCCACUAUUGCUAAGCGUGUUUGAAACCACUAUUGCUUGAGUUGUUCUUCCGGUCUCUCAUUGGUACGUGGGGCGUACCCCACGUAACAUUAUGUUUCUCUGAUAAAUUUGAUAAAUUUGCUGAUGUGAAGGUCGGACAAUUCCGAGAAUCAGACCUGCCAAUAUGACAAGUUAAAUGUAAGAAAUGAGAAUAAGGAAGUAGUUUUCUUCGAUGAGGAAGAUACAAAACCGCUGAAUCCGUUGAUGUCAAGGUGGCUAAUAAACGGUAAAUUGGUAACACGAUAAGUGAUAAUAAUUUUGCCUACUAACACGAGAGCAAAAGGUACUAUUCAUGAUAUUUGUGUGCUUGUGUUUAAUUAGAUCAAUUCUUUGGCCACCGAGAAGAUGCUAUCCAGGGUGUUUGAUCCAUCUCCCGUCAGACUUAUUUUUGUUGAUCUUGUGCUUGACACCAAUUAUUUCUUCUUCUCAAAAAAAAGGAGGAAGAGGAGACCCCUGGUGGCGCGGACAUCCAACGACUCGGACAUCGUCCUCCCGUGACGUCCUCCUCCAAGCCCGAAUCCAGUGCCUCCUCAAGAAAUGGAGAAGCGCCAUGGUUGGCUGUUGCUUGAGGAAAUGAGGAGAUGCAUAUGUCAGCAAUGUUGCUGGAGCAAGGAACACUUCCAUAUUCUAUAAGGCCGAUGCCAAGGAAGGUGAGGGUCCUGUGGCUGGCUGCUGCUAGGAAUAGCAGGCAGUAGGGAAGUUUCUUUCUGAUUUGAAGUGUGCAGAUUAGGACAGGUCGCUUUUUGUGAGCAACCAUCUGAAUGCUAAAAUGUCAUAAAUGGCUGUGAACAGAUCGGAUAUGAUUCAUACAUCAGGUGAAAUAGUUGUGACCUCAUGUUGCAGUAUCUACCAAAGAAUAUAUGUGAAAUCCAAGGAAUCAUUUCUGACUUCUGAGCGAUUUGUGGUACGGCUCAAGAUAUGUGGUUUUGGAUUAGGGUAGGACUCAAGAUAUGUGACUUCCAAGGGAACUGUAAACUCAAGAUAUGUGGUCUUGGACUAGCAAGAUUUGCAUCCAGUGACACCCCUACAACAGUUUUCUGGAUGGACCAUGUCACCACCUGAUGGUACAGAGCUCAUGAACUCUGUAAUGUUCUAUCAUUACCAAGGAGUAUUCACAACUUAUGCCCUUGUCUCACGAAUUUUCUGAUAUGCACUGUUGUUAAGAAUUUCCGGAGGCUAACUUAGAGGAAGAUAGAGGAAAGAGCAGGGCAGUUGAGGGGAAGUACAUUUCUCACUGGAGACACUUUUUUCAGAUUACUAGACAUAUAGGAGGAAUUAUGAAACUAAAAUGGGAUGUUACUGUUGGCAUUUGAUGACAAAGUGAGGCCAAUAUAGAAAAAAAACUAAGCUUUUGGGACUAACCACGGAAUAUUAGUACUAUAUGCUGAUAUUGACAAGCCGCACUAUCUUCUCCGGUGGCAUGGGCAACGUGUAUUAUGUCGAAGUGUGUGCGAUUAUUGAUUUUAUGUCUUUAUUUUUACUAAUAUAUAUUUAUACAAGGACGACAAUCAACAAAAUGUGUAUUUCUCAUUCAACCAGUGUCCUCGCAUGUAAAGACAAGUAAUGCUUCGAGUACAUGAGAAAGAAAACAGUACUUAAGAAUUUUCCUA